GAUGAAGAACGCAGCGAAAUGCGAUACGUAAUGUGAAUUGCAAAUUCAGUGAAUCAUCGAGUCUUUGAACGCACAUUGCGCCCGCCAGUAUUCUGGCGGGCAUGCCUGUCUGAGCGUCAUUUCAACCCUCAGCCCCCGCUCGCGGGGCGCUGGCGUUGGGGAUCGGCCGUCCUCGCGGCGGCCGGCCCCGAAACACAGUGGCGGUCUCUCGCGGACUCCCCUGCGUAGUAGCACUACCUCGCAGAAGGGACGAGCGGGCUGACCACGCCGUAAAACCCCCCACUUCUCCAGGUUGACCUCAGAUCAGGUAGGAAUACCCGCUGAACUUAAGCAUAUCAAUAAGCGGAGGA
RNAcentral lists this unclassified non-coding RNA (350 nucleotides) under soil metagenome. RNAcentral describes it as "partial contains 5.8S ribosomal RNA, internal transcribed spacer 2, and large subunit ribosomal RNA". The stretch from base 1 to 119 matches the Rfam family "5.8S ribosomal RNA", at positions 35 to 154 of the family's 154-position model. The record is from RNAcentral.